AAUAGCUGCAUUAUUUGACGUUUAGCGACAGAAGAAGCACAGGCUAACUCCGUGCCAGCAGCCGCGGUAAUACGGAGGGUGCGAGCGUUAAUCGGAAUUACUGGGCGUAAAGCGCAUGCAGGUGGUUUGUUAAGUUCAGAUGUGAAAGACCCGGGGCGUCAACCUCGGAAUAGCAUUUGAAACUAGGCAGACUAGAGUACUGUAGAGGGGGGUAGGAAGUUUCAGGUGUAGCGGUGAAAUGCGUAGAGAUCUGAAGGAAUACCGGUGGCGAAGGCGGCCCCCUCGGACAGAUACUGACACUCAGAUGCGAAAGCGUGGGGAGCAAACAGGAUUAGAUACCCUGGUAG
RNAcentral lists this ribosomal RNA (347 nucleotides) under uncultured bacterium. Its description in RNAcentral is "bacterial SSU rRNA". It matches the Rfam family "Bacterial small subunit ribosomal RNA", at positions 455 to 793 of the family's 1533-position model. The record is from RNAcentral.